This 429-nucleotide ribosomal RNA is filed under the name bacterium. RNAcentral's name for it is "partial 16S ribosomal RNA". It matches the Rfam family "Bacterial small subunit ribosomal RNA", at positions 355 to 776 of the family's 1533-position model. The record is from RNAcentral.
UAGGGAAUCUUCGGCAAUGGGGGCAACCCUGACCGAGCAACGCCGCGUGAGUGAAGAAGGUUUUCGGAUCGUAAAGCUCUGUUGUAAGAGAAGAACGUGUGUGAGAGUGGAAAGUUCACACAGUGACGGUAACUUACCAGAAAGGGACGGCUAACUACGUGCCAGCAGCCGCGGUAAUACGUAGGUCCCGAGCGUUGUCCGGAUUUAUUGGGCGUAAAGCUAGCGCAGGCGGUUUAAUAAGUCUGAAGUUAAAGGCAGUGGCUUAACCAUUGUUCGCUUUGGAAACUGUUAAACUUGAGUGCAGAAGGGGAGAGUGGAAUUCCAUGUGUAGCGGUGAAAUGCGUAGAUAUAUGGAGGAACACCGGUGGCGAAAGCGGCUCUCUGGUCUGUAACUGACGCUGAGGCUCGAAAGCGUGGGGAGCAAACAGG